Molecule: long non-coding RNA, 4717 nt
Filed under: Sus scrofa (pig)
Lineage: Eukaryota; Metazoa; Chordata; Mammalia; Artiodactyla; Suidae
Description: lncRNA (ENSSSCG00025014643.1)
Source: RNAcentral
UAGCUCAAGUCUGGCACAGGGCAGAUACUCAACAGCUACGUGGUGACUCGGUAAAGAAAUACAGCUGUCAGAGUGGCUUGGGUUCCUUCUAAAGGUGAGUCUGGGACAAGGGUUUGGAUGCUCUUGCUUUGUUGGGGAGGUGAUUCCAGGGGGCGGAAGGUGAGGGACAGGAGGAGGGAGAACCCAGGAAAGUCACUUCAAGGUUAAAUUCUCAAGGUCAUCCCUGAGGGCGAUUGGAGCUCCAUCGUGUCCAGGAGCCUGGAGCAAGCCUCUCAGAAUCACUCCCAGGUCAAGGAGGCAGCUUUUCUUUCUGGCUCUCAGGCCUCCUGGGGUGAGACUUCCUUCUGGAUUGUUCACUCCUGCCCUUGUACGACCCCUACCCAGACCUGCCUAGGCUCUCCUGUGGGUCCCCUUGGGGUCACAGAAGCCCUGGGGCUGCCAGCAACAGGCACCAGCAUUCAGCUGAGAUGUGAUGCUGUUUUUAGGAGAUGGGUUGCAGCCCCGGAAGGACCACCACCCCGAGGGUGGAUUCACACGUGAGGCCAAGAGGCUACGGGGCUGAAACGGGAGGUGGAGGAAACAAUAGGUAAGGUGAAGUUGGCUGGUUGCAACUACCCAGACGUUUUAGUUCCUUUUUUAAUAAAUAUUUCCCCAUGUAAUCCUGUUAUGUAUUCCAGGUACAUGAAUGGAAUGCAAGGUCAAAGGAUCUAAUUUGUUUAAGCCCCCAUGUCUGUGAUUUGUACUUGAACGUUCAAUGUGGGGGAAGGUGUUGGGGAGAGGGCUUGGAUCGUCAGUGUUGGAAAAUGAGACACACGAACACGGGGAGGUCUCGACAAGGCUCUUUCCUUUUGCAGAAGGGCACGGGUGCUCCAAAAGCCGCGCAAAGGGGAAAAGACCCUCCCCUAUUUAUCCCUAACGCAGGUGAUGUACCGGCCCCUUCCCAUGGGGCGGGUCAGGGCGCACAUUCUUCUCGUGGGCUAAUUUGAAACAAAUUGCAACUGGGAGAAGAGGAAGAGAGGAGAAGGGGUCACCAAGAUUUCCUUUGAUAGAAAAGACAUUAUGUUUCUUUCCACAAAGGGAAGGAUAAGAAAACAGAAACCCUCUUCUCAGAAGAAGUGGGUUAAUAGUACAAGAAGGCACACUGAGUGCGGGUUAAGUCUGCAGGAGAUCAGAUCAGCUUUGUUUCACAUGGCACCCUCCAUCAUUUCAUCCCACUACUGCAUCCUAGAAUCUUCACCAGCGGCCAGAGCUGACGCUGGGUGCCAGUUCUCUGACUGCUGUUCGUGCAGCCUGCUCUGGGAUCUGCCUGGACCACCCUGCUGCUGAAGCUUCCUCCUGGGAGAUGGGGACACAGACAGACCCUGGAGGCUGCUACAGCUGUGGGAACUUGGGCAGUUCAUGGGAGCAAAGGAGGUGCCUGGUCCAAACCACAGCUGGAAGCUGUGCCAUUUCUCUUGACAUCUGGGCAGAACGUAAGCCUUGGAGGGACCGGUUGGCAGGAAUUCUUGUUGAUUGGAGGCAGGGAAGGAGAAAGCAGAGGUGGCCGCUGUCAUGUGACAUUAGCAUCACGUUAGCGAUGGCUUCAGCACCUCUUGGGUGGCGUGUGUUAUCGUGAGUUCUCAUGAACUCACAGACUUGAAACGGGUGACAGGGCCGUGGAUGCCCCUCCCGAAAGGUGUAUGACAGAUCCGGAAAGGGAGGGGCUGGUAUGAGGGGAAGUUUCCUCCUUGGGGCCCUCAGACCAUUCAGAGAGGGGGCCAUGGCCUGGACAAAGCACAGGGCUUCAGCCAGCAGAGUGACUCACCUGGGGACAGGAAACAUCUGGAUGACCUCCCUUCCACCUUGUGAACCCUCGUUAACGGGGGCAGGGAGGGCAAAUCACCUCUGAACCCACGAAAACGACGUUGUCUUUCUAAAAGCUCUUCUGUCGAAUAUGCAGAAAUUUUAAAACAAGGUUGAUGUCUUCGUUUUUUUGGCCCCAGCCAUGGCAUAUGGAAUCACAUCUGAGCUGCUGCUGCAACCUACAGCACAGCUGCAGCAAUGCCAGAUCCUUAACCCACCAUGCCGCAGGGGGAACUCCCGCUAUCUCCAUUUUAAGUUUAAAAGCUCUCACAAUUACGUGGCUUUGAGAGUUCACUGUAAAGUCAUUUAAGUGGCCCAAUGGACAUAACUGGACUUUUAAUUCACAGCCUUUGAAACAUCUUUAAAUGACUUGGAUUGAGCACUUCUCUGCUGUUGGUAGGUUUUAUGAUGGUUCCUAGUAAGAGGGAUGGAUGUAUAAACACACAUGCCUGUCACUGGCGAGGAGGACAGCGCCUGUCUGUGUAUCUAGGAAAUUCAAAGGUCAUUUUGAACUCGAAGGUUAAGAAAUGAUGUUCCUGCUACACCUUUUCCAGACUCCCUCUCAGCGCUGUUUGGCAGUGACAAUAACGGCAUGGUCCUGGGGACCACGGCCCGUUCUCCAAACCAUCUGCACCUGAUCUCGGCCCCGGGCAGUGGUGCAUGGUGGGGUUAACAAGGCUUUCCCUCAUCUGACACCUCCUUCCUCCCUGGGGAAGAGGCAUGAAUGCUGCCAAUAAGUAGACUCAAAGUAUGUUUGUCAUUAAGCUUUUCCUGUAGGCUGGCUCGUUCAAUUGAUGGAGUUGCUCUGGUGAGUUACUUUAAGCUUCCAACUUAUAAAUCAAGAUGUAGUCAUAUCAAUUCAAUGUUGGUUUGUUCACCUCGUUGAUUUUGAAAUAAAAAUGAAUGUGAUUUUAGAGAUGCCCCAAGUGAAAAAUCCCCAAUACUGACGCCACUAGCAAUGAGCAGCACUGCCUGCUGGAACCAGGGUUCCUUACAGGGCACUGACCCUAGGUCUGGGGCAGGAGAUGGUAAGUGAGCCUAGCAUAUCCUGCUCUGCCAAGAACUUUUCGGAAACUAAGGUGUCAAGGUCAAAAGGACAAAGAGGCCAACCUGAAGGGUAUCCCGUUGCUCUAAAAUACGACAAUGAAGCAUCCAAAAGAUGAGUGAGAUGGAUUGAAGUACAUGGCAUACAUAAAAUUUCAUGAAUUCGUGAAUAUCCUAAAACAAACAGCUAACCAGCUCUUUAGUUUAAAAUUUGAUGCACGGAAAGACAGAUUUAUCUUGCUUUUUUUUUUCCCUGUACAAACCUUAUUUAAGAGUUCACAAAGAGGUGACAGGAGAAAUUUCUUUACAGAUGCAUACAAGCUAAUAAAAGUAGAAGGAAUGAUAGUUAAGAAAUCAUUAAAAACAAACACCUAUUGGAGUAAUGAAUUUAGGCAACAGUCAUCAAAGACAUUAAAGCAGUAGGUGACAGGUGAAUGGGGACCAGCCAGUGGAUGGAUCAGGCUGGGGAUCCAGGAACUGACUGUCAAUCUCUUAUCACUAAGAGCGGAUGAUGAGACGUUACAAUGUGAUGCAAAGCAGAUAUGCAGCACCAUCUCUGAAGCUGAAAAAAAUUCCUCUGAAUCUAAGCAAGCCUCUGUGUCUAACCUUUCACUUAACAGAAAAUACAGCAGGUAGAGAAACCAGUUAGAAAAUGUCAAAUCAAUACCGUGGGACAUUUUACAGGGCGGCCAAUCUAAUUUCUCCAAAGAAUUAAUGACACGGAAACAAAGCAGGGGAGGGGACAGCUACAGACAUGAGACUUAAGACUUACUCGUGGGCUUUGUUCAGAUCCUGAUUCAGGGGAGUUCCCAUUGUGGCGCAGUGGUUAACGAAUCCGACUAGGAACCAUGAGGUUUUGGGUUCGAUCCCUGGCCUUGCUCAGUGGGUUAAGGAUCCAGUGUUGCCAUGAGCUGUGGUGUAGGUCACAGAUGCAGCUUGGAUCCCGUGUUGCUGUGGCUCUUACGUAGGCCGGCGGCUACAGCUCUGAUUAGACCCCUAGCCUGGGAACCUCCAUAUGCAGCCCUAGAAAAAAACAAAAAGACAGAUCCUGAUUCAAACAAAUCAACUGUUAGGAAAUAUAUUUCAGAUGGCAUAGGAAACUUAGACUAGAGACCAGGUACUGAACGAGCACAGGCAACAGUGGUUAGUUUUAUUAGUUAUAGUAAUGGCAGUAUCGCUAAACAAGCUCAUUGGUUAUGGAUGCAUACCGGACUAUUAGGAUAAAAGCCUGCGGUAGCUUGGAUCUCUCUAGACACACUCCAAUAAAGAAAGGAGGAGAGUACUUUGGCGCCUCGGUAGGUUAAGGAGCCAGUGUUGUCCCUUGCAUCAUUGUUAGGUUCCAUCCCUGGCUCGGGAACUUCCACAUACAAGUGUGGCGAAGAAAAGAAAAAAAGAGAGAGAAAGAAAGGAAAAAGAAGGAGGAAGGGAGGGAGAAUAAGACAAUAAAUAGACAGAGCGGUGUUGGAAAUUUUUGGUAUUUUCACACCGAAUACAGGGACUCGUGGAUUCAUUAUACUAUUCUUUCUCUGCUUGUGUGUGUUCUGUUUUUCCAGAAUCACAUUUAGAGUAGAAUUAUUGACACACUCUUUCAAGCAAAGUUUAGAACCCAGAACGUCAAUUCAAGACAAAAAUAGGAGAUCUCACUGUGACACAGUUGGUGAGGAAUCCCCUGCAGUAGCUCAGGUCACUGCAGAGGCCCAGGUUCCAUCCAUGGCCAGGCACAGUGGCUUAAAGGAUCCACCAUAGGUCACAGCUUCAGCUCAGAUUCAAUCCCUGGCUUGGGACUAUCCAUAUGCCAAGGAUGUGGCCAUUAAAAAAAAAAAAAAAAAAA